AUUCCUAUACUUGUGCAUACAGUGGACACAGAGCAGGUAGGGAGCAGGGAUAAUAACAUUCCUCUACUUGUACAUACAGUGGACACAGAGCAGGUAGGGAGCAGGGAUAAUAACAUUCCUCUACUUGUACAUACAGUGGACACAGAGCAGGUAGGGAGCAGGGAUAAUAACAUUCCUCUACUUGUACAUACAGUGGACACAGAGCAGGUAGGGAGCAGGGAUAAUAACAUUCCUCUACUUGUACAUACAGUGGACACAGAGCAGGUAGGGAGCAGGGAUAAUAACAUUCCUCUACUUGUACAUACAGUGGACACAGAGCAGGUAGGGAGCAGGGAUAAUAACAUUCCUAUACUUGUACAUACAGUGGACACAGAGCAGGUAGGGAGCAGGGAUAAUAACAUUCCUCUACUUGUACAUACAGUGGACACAGAGCAGGUAGGGAGCAGGGAUAAUAACAUUCCUCUACUUGUACAUACAGUGGACACAGAGCAGGUAGGGAGCAGGGAUAAUAACAUUCCUCUACUUGUACAUACAGUGGACACAGAGCAGGUAGGGAGCAGGGAUAAUAACAUUCCUAUACUUGUACAUACAGUGGACACAGAGCAGGUAGGGAGCAGGGAUAAUAACAUUCCUCUACUUGUACAUACAGUGGACACAGAGCAGGUAGGGAGCAGGGAUAAUAACAUUCCUCUACUUGUACAUACAGUGGACACAGAGCAGGUAGGGAGCAGGGAUAAUAACAUUCCUAUACUUGUACAUACAGUGGACACAGAGCAGGUAGGGAGCAGGGAUAAUAACAUUCCUCUACUUGUACAUACAGUGGACACAGAGCAGGUAGGGAGCAGGGAUAAUAGCAUUCCUCUACUUGUACAUACAGUGGACA
Molecule: long non-coding RNA, 883 nt
Organism: Oncorhynchus keta (chum salmon)
Lineage: Eukaryota; Metazoa; Chordata; Actinopteri; Salmoniformes; Salmonidae
Exons: 3
Source: RefSeq, a predicted model, not a curated record